Molecule: unclassified non-coding RNA, 228 nt
Filed under: uncultured Mucoraceae
Lineage: Eukaryota; Fungi; Mucoromycota; Mucoromycetes; Mucorales; Mucoraceae
Description: sequence contains ITS1
Source: RNAcentral
AAUAAUGAAAAAAAUAAUAUUGAGCUCUCGGGUUCAUUAUUAUUUUUAAUCUAUUUACUGUGAACUGUAUUAUUUGCAUGGCGCUUGAGAGAUGUCUAGGCAUUAUAUGGAUAGAUGCUUAGAAUGUUAAUCGAGUCAUGAUCAAGCUUAGGCUUGGUAUCCUAUUAUUAUUUACCAAAAGAAUUCAGCUUAAAAAUAUUGUAACAUAGACCUAAAAAAUCUAUAAAA